Molecule: long non-coding RNA, 202 nt
Filed under: Citrus maxima (pomelo)
Lineage: Eukaryota; Viridiplantae; Streptophyta; Magnoliopsida; Sapindales; Rutaceae
Description: long non-coding RNA (CMAX_LNC004328)
Source: RNAcentral
UAGACGUAGCGCCUCUUCCCCUAUGCGCCUAUUGGUACUGGUGUAGUAGGGUUGACUUGCAAUACAGAACCCAUAGGUGUAACCUUUCGCUCAAUACUAGAAUCGACAAUUGAAGCAUCUGAGGCUGCAUUAAUCGGGGAUACACGACAGAAGGAAUGGUUUUAUCUAUAAACUUCACCUUCAAACAAGCGUAGAUUUUUUC